Oreochromis aureus is the source of this 1276-nucleotide long non-coding RNA. NCBI's taxonomy places the organism in Eukaryota, Metazoa, Chordata, Actinopteri, Cichliformes, Cichlidae. The record is from Ensembl.
GAAUAAAUAAAGUCUGAUUGAUGCACUGCCCUGAAACAGGUGGACUCUCUUUUACAGCAUGUUUUUUGUUUCAGGUGUAUUUCAGUUUAUUUCAUUUCUAUCCCAGCCAGCGUCUUAGUGAUUAUAGAUGGUUAAUUAGGGAGGAAUGUCUGUUUGUUUAGCUGAGUGCAGUGAAGUCGGAGGUGAUUGUCAGUAAAUGCAUCGCCCCCCUGAUAGGCCUGGUCUUGCAUGUCAGCCGGUUUCUUCACUAACCUUGCCCCCGUUUGGUCCUCUCCUGUGAAGGGCUGCAGCUGUCUGCCUGCCAGUCGGACUUUAUCAAAACUCGGAUUCGCUGUGCCGUUAAGUACGCUGCUUAUUUCGAACCCGCCCCCCUUUUCUGCUGUUUUGUUCAGAUGCAUUUAAGGACGAGCUGCUGGAAAUAAUAGAGGGCCUUCAGAGCAGGAUCGAUGCCACAGCCUGCGCCAUCUUCUGCAACUGGAAGCUCUCGCCAGCGUCUCCAGAAUACACAAUCAGUCUUUGUUAGCUUGUGGUCCCAAGUCUGGAUAAAUGGGGUGGUUGUGUUGUGUCAGUGAGGGCAUCUGGCAGCAUGUGGUUUCAUGUCUGUGGUGACCGCCUGGAGAUAAAGCAGCAGCUGAAAGUGUGGAGCACAUGAAAAGAAGGUAAGUGGACUUCCUUUGGUUCAUAAAGCUGUUUCAGCUCUCAUGCAGAGGUUUCCUCAAGUCCAAAACAACUGAUGAAGAGUCCCAGGUAACCUCGUGGUCGUCCUCGGGUGCUCGACCCUCAUUGAUCAUCCUCUGCUCCGGUCCCAGUACCACAGAUUUUAUCAUGAGACAGUAAACGUGAGGCCACAGACACGUUACUACACAUGCGCCCUCGCAGUUCACUGUCAGGGUGAGGAGUCAGUCACACAGAGACACACAACCAUUCACACCUACAGAUGAUGCAGAGUGACCAGUUACCCACCAGUUUGGACUGUGGGAGGAAGGACGCUGUAUUUAAAUGAAAUCUGAAAAUCAGUGAUGACUCCAGCACCCCCAGUUUGCACCUGCGGGGACAAAUCAGUGCAUUAGAGGUGGCGUCUGCUUCAUGAACUGUGCUGAGCACCCUCUGUUGGAGUAAAAUAGCACCGCAGCCUGUUUAAGGAGAGCGCGGCACACCUGCUCCUCAUCACUUGUUGCCGUCCUGCAGUAUUUAAGGAGCGGCUCCUCUGCCAGGUUGCUGUAGCAGUGGAAGCUCUCUCGUUCCUCACCUCAGCCUGUGAGGAAACCUGCUGCAC